UUGGUUAAGUUAGAAAGGGCGCACGGUGGAUGCCUUGGCACUAGGAGCCGAAGAAGGACGGGACUAACACCGAUAUGCUUUGGGGAGCUGUACGUAAGCGUUGAUCCAGAGAUUUCCGAAUGGGGGAACCCACUAUCUUUAGUCGGAUAGUAUCCUUACGUGAAUACAUAGCGUGAGGAAGGCAGACCCAGGGAACUGAAACAUCUAAGUACCUGGAGGAAGAGAAAGAAAAAUCGAUUUCCUGAGUAGCGGCGAGCGAAACGGAAAGAGCCCAAACCAAGAAGCUUGCUUCUUGGGGUUGUAGGACACUCUAUACGGAGUUACAAAAGAAAGUUAUAAAUGAAGCGGUCUGGAAAGGCCCGCCAAAGACGGUAACAGCCCGGUAGUUGAAAUGGCUUUCCCUCCAGAGUGGAUCCUGAGUACGGCGGAACACGUGAAAUUCCGUCGGAAUCCGGGAGGACCAUCUCCCAAGGCUAAAUACUCCCUAGUGACCGAUAGUGAACCAGUACCGUGAGGGAAAGGUGAAAAGCACCCCGGAAGGGGAGUGAAACAGUUCCUGAAACCGUGUGCCUACAAGUAGUUAGAGCCCGUUAAUGGGUGAUAGCGUGCCUUUUGUAGAAUGAACCGGCGAGUUACGAUUUGUUGCAAGGUUAAGCGGAAAAAGCGGAGCCGUAGCGAAAGCGAGUCUGAAUAGGGCGCAUAAGUAACAGGUCGUAGACCCGAAACCAGGUGAUCUACCCAUGUCCAGGAUGAAGGUAAGGUAAUACUUACUGGAGGUCCGAACCCACGCACGUUGAAAAGUGCGGGGAUGAGGUGUGGGUAGCGGAGAAAUUCCAAUCGAACUUGGAGAUAGCUGGUUCUCUCCGAAAUAGCUUUAGGGCUAGCCUCGAGGUAAAGAGUCAUGGAGGUAGAGCACUGUUUGGACUAGGGGCCCUUCUCGGGUUACCGAAUUCAGAUAAACUCCGAAUGCCAUGUACUUAUACUCGGGAGUCAGACUGCGAGUGAUAAGAUCCGUAGUCGAAAGGGAAACAGCCCAGACCACCAGUUAAGGUCCCCAAAUAUAUGUUAAGUGGAAAAGGAUGUGGGGUUGCUUAGACAACCAGGAUGUUGGCUUAGAAGCAGCCACCAUUGAAAGAGUGCGUAAUAGCUCACUGGUCGAGUGACCCCGCGCCGAAAAUGUACCGGGGCUAAACAUAUUACCGAAACUGUGGAUGAACCUCUUUAGAGGUUCGUGGUAGGAGAGCGUUCUAAGGGCGGUGAAGUCAGACCGGAAGGACUGGUGGAGCGCUUAGAAGUGAGAAUGCCGGUAUGAGUAGCGAAAGAAGGGUGAGAAUCCCUUCCACCGAAUAUCUAAGGUUUCCUGAGGAAGGCUCGUCCGCUCAGGGUUAGUCGGGACCUAAGCCGAGGCCGAUAGGCGUAGGCGAUGGACAACAGGUAGAGAUUCCUGUACCAGUGCUAAUUGUUUAACCGAUGGGGUGACACAGAAGGAUAGGGAAUCGCACGAAUGGAAAUGUGCGUCCAAGCAGUGAGUGUGAGAAGUAGGCAAAUCCGCUUCUCGCGAAGCAUGAGCUGUGAUGGGGAAGGAAAUUAAGUACGGAAGUUCCUGAUUUCACGCUGUCAAGAAAAGCCUCUA
RNAcentral lists this ribosomal RNA (1633 nucleotides) under Escherichia coli. RNAcentral describes it as "partial 23S ribosomal RNA". It matches the Rfam family "Bacterial large subunit ribosomal RNA", at positions 1 to 1623 of the family's 2925-position model. The record is from RNAcentral. Lineage: Bacteria; Pseudomonadati; Pseudomonadota; Gammaproteobacteria; Enterobacterales; Enterobacteriaceae.